AAAUAAUCGUAAGAACUUUUAUAAAUUUAUGUCUAGACUUUAGUGUGUAUCGAACAAUUUUCACCUUCUUUAAGUUCGCCCAUCAGAGCAGGGAGUUGCAUUUUCACCUUCUUCACGUUCGCAGUAGAGCAGGGAGUUGCAGCUUCAAUUACAAAGAAGUGGAAGGCCUUGACACGAAUUUCGAACACGGCGGGGCUGCGGGCGAAGACGAGGAACCGACGGCCGUGUCGCAGCACAUACGGUAUACGGAGCACUGGAGGGACGCUCGAAACGACGACGGCAAGUGGCGUCAUGGCACAGAAGCUGAUGGUGCCAUGAUGAGCUUGCAACGCGUCGACGAAGCGACGGCGAAGAACAUCGGGGGCAUACUCGUCGGCGGCAUGAAGAAACAGAAUGCUCCGACUGGACAUGGGGGGCGGCAAUGGCCACAGGCGAAGAAAUUUGCGAGAACAGCACGCAUGGAGCUGGGCCAGCGCGGCGUGGUGAGGAGAACAGAGGGCUCGGGACGCUAGGAAAAUUGUCUGCGGCUAGUGGCAAGGAUAGUGAGCUGUGGCGUGGCUUCGGUGGGCAAGCUGCGAGCAGGAGCGAUGGAGCAGGAAGCGAGCAACGACGAACUCCGGCAAGGUGGAGUUGCCGACGGUGACGGCUGUGCUCGGUCAGAUGCGGUGGGCGAGAGUAGCGGAGACAGGAGCAAGCAACAGGGCAAAAAGAAGCUCGACACGGC
RNAcentral lists this unclassified non-coding RNA (724 nucleotides) under Zea mays. RNAcentral describes it as "misc RNA Zm00001eb139580". The record is from RNAcentral. Lineage: Eukaryota; Viridiplantae; Streptophyta; Magnoliopsida; Poales; Poaceae.